GACGAACGCUGGCGGCGUGCUUAACACAUGCAAGUCGAACGGAAAGGCCCUGCUUUUGUGGGGUGCUCGAGUGGCGAACGGGUGAGUAACACGUGAGUAACCUGCCCUUGACUUUGGGAUAACUUCAGGAAACUGGGGCUAAUACCGGAUAGGAGCUCCUGCUGCAUGGUGGGGGUUGGAAAGUUUCGGCGGUUGGGGAUGGACUCGCGGCUUAUCAGCUUGUUGGUGGGGUAGUGGCUUACCAAGGCUUUGACGGGUAGCCGGCCUGAGAGGGUGACCGGCCACAUUGGGACUGAGAUACGGCUCAGACGCCUACGGGAGGCAGCAGUGGUGAAUAUUGCACAAUGGGCGGAAUCCUGAGGCAGCAACGCCGCGUGCGGGAGGACGGCCUUCGGGUUGUAAACCGCUUUCGCCAGUGACGAAGCGUGAGUGACGGGAAUGGGUAAAGAAGCACCGGCUAACUACGUG
Molecule: ribosomal RNA, 468 nt
Filed under: uncultured bacterium
Lineage: Bacteria
Description: partial 16S ribosomal RNA
Rfam family: Bacterial small subunit ribosomal RNA
Source: RNAcentral